UACGGAGGGUGCAAGCAUUAAUCGGAAUUAUUGGGCGUAAAGAGCACGUAGGCGGCGUCUUAAGUCAGAUGUGAAACUCCGGAGCUUAACUCCGGACCUGCAUCUGAAACUGAGACACUAGAGGAUAGUCGGAGAAAACGGAAUUCCACAAGUAGCGGUGAAAUGCGUAGAUAUGUGGAAGAACACCAGUGGCGAAAGCGGUUUUCUAGAUUAUUCCUGACACUCAGGUGCGAAAGCAAGGGGAGCAAACAGG
Molecule: ribosomal RNA, 253 nt
Filed under: uncultured bacterium
Lineage: Bacteria
Description: partial 16S ribosomal RNA
Rfam family: Bacterial small subunit ribosomal RNA
Source: RNAcentral